GAACGCUAGCGGCAGGCCUAACACAUGCAAGUCGAACGGUAACAGGGAAGAGCCUAGCUCUUUCGCUGACGAGUGGCGCACGGGUGCGUAACGCGUAUACAAUCUGCCUUUAAGCGGGGAAUAGCCCAUGGAAACGUGGAUUAAUACCCCAUAGUAUGUAGUUCUCUCCUGAGAAUUACAUUAAACAUUUAUGGCUUAAAGAUGAGUAUGCGUCCUAUUAGUUAGUUGGUAAGGUAACGGCUUACCAAGACCGCGAUAGGUAGGGGUCCUGAGAGGGAGAUCCCCCACACUGGUACUGAGACACGGACCAGACUCCUACGGGAGGCAGCAGUGAGGAAUAUUGGACAAUGGAGGCAACUCUGAUCCAGCCAUGCCGCGUGCAGGAAGACGGCCCUAUGGGUUGUAAACUGCUUUUAUACGGGAAGAACCACAUCUACGUGUAGAUGCUUGACGGUACCGUAUGAAUAAGGACCGGCUAACUCCGUGCCAGCAGCCGCGGUAAUACGGAGGGUCCAAGCGUUAUCCGGAAUCAUUGGGUUUAAAGGGUCUGUAGGCGGAGUAAUAAGUCAGUGGUGAAAGUCUGCAGCUUAACUGUAGAAUUGCCAUUGAUACUGUUAUUCUUGAAUUAUUAUGAAGUGGUUGGAAUGAGUAGUGUAGCGGUGAAAUGCAUAGAUAUUACUCAGAACACCUAUUGCGAAGGCAGAUCACUAAUAAUAUAUUGACGCUGAGGGACGAAAGCGUAGGUAGCGAACAGGAUUAGAUACCCUGGUAGUCUACGCCGUAAACGAUGGAUACUAGCUGUCCGGGGUCUUGAGUCCUGGGCGGCCAGCGAAAGUGAUAAGUAUCCCACCUGGGGAGUACGUUCGCAAG
Molecule: ribosomal RNA, 870 nt
Filed under: uncultured bacterium
Lineage: Bacteria
Description: bacterial SSU rRNA
Rfam family: Bacterial small subunit ribosomal RNA
Source: RNAcentral